GCGAUGGUGGCGUUGGCGC
This 19-nucleotide unclassified non-coding RNA is filed under the name Chlamydomonas reinhardtii. Its description in RNAcentral is "small RNA Cre_1735". The record is from RNAcentral. Lineage: Eukaryota; Viridiplantae; Chlorophyta; Chlorophyceae; Chlamydomonadales; Chlamydomonadaceae.